RNAcentral lists this ribosomal RNA (705 nucleotides) under bacterium. RNAcentral describes it as "bacterial SSU rRNA". It matches the Rfam family "Bacterial small subunit ribosomal RNA", at positions 185 to 873 of the family's 1533-position model. The record is from RNAcentral.
ACCGCAUGGUUCAAUCAUAAAAGGUGGCUUUUAGCUACCACUUACAGAUGGACCCGCGGCGCAUUAGCUAGUUGGUGAGGUAACGGCUCACCAAGGCGACGAUGCGUAGCCGACCUGAGAGGGUGAUCGGCCACACUGGGACUGAGACACGGCCCAGACUCCUACGGGAGGCAGCAGUAGGGAAUCUUCCGCAAUGGACGAAAGUCUGACGGAGCAACGCCGCGUGAGUGAUGAAGGUUUUCGGAUCGUAAAACUCUGUUGUUAGGGAAGAACAAGUACCGUUCGAAUAGGGCGGUACCUUGACGGUACCUAACCAGAAAGCCACGGCUAACUACGUGCCAGCAGCCGCGGUAAUACGUAGGUGGCAAGCGUUGUCCGGAAUUAUUGGGCGUAAAGCGCGCGCAGGCGGUUUCUUAAGUCUGAUGUGAAAGCCCCCGGCUCAACCGGGGAGGGUCAUUGGAAACUGGGGAACUUGAGUGCAGAAGAGGAGAGUGGAAUUCCACGUGUAGCGGUGAAAUGCGUAGAGAUGUGGAGGAACACCAGUGGCGAAGGCGACUCUCUGGUCUGUAACUGACGCUGAGGCGCGAAAGCGUGGGGAGCGAACAGGAUUAGAUACCCUGGUAGUCCACGCCGUAAACGAUGAGUGCUAAGUGUUAGAGGGUUUCCGCCCUUUAGUGCUGCAGCAAACGCAUUAAGCACUCCGCC